GCAAACUUGGUCAUUUAGAGGAAGUAAAAGUCGUAACAAGGUUUCCGUAGGUGAACCUGCGGAAGGAUCAUUACAAAUGACCUGCAUAGGUCUGAGUAACCCACUUAAGGCUGGAGACAGCCAAAAGUGACCACCCUUUGUGAAACUUCUCCAUUGCUUCGGCAGCACUAUUGAGGGCAACCGCAGUAGGUAAGGCUGCCAGAAGCCUACAGUUAAACCAGUUGAUAAUUAAAUCAUGCUGUCUGACUACAAUUUUGAGAAAUCAAAUAAGUUAAAACUUUCAGCAACGGAUCUCUUGGUUCUCGCAUCGAUGAAGAACGCAGC
RNAcentral lists this unclassified non-coding RNA (324 nucleotides) under uncultured fungus. RNAcentral describes it as "partial contains small subunit ribosomal RNA, internal transcribed spacer 1, and 5.8S ribosomal RNA". The stretch from base 1 to 73 matches the Rfam family "Eukaryotic small subunit ribosomal RNA", at positions 1759 to 1831 of the family's 1831-position model. The record is from RNAcentral. Lineage: Eukaryota; Fungi.